This 348-nucleotide unclassified non-coding RNA is filed under the name soil metagenome. Its description in RNAcentral is "partial contains 5.8S ribosomal RNA, internal transcribed spacer 2, and large subunit ribosomal RNA". The stretch from base 1 to 120 matches the Rfam family "5.8S ribosomal RNA", at positions 35 to 154 of the family's 154-position model. The record is from RNAcentral.
GAUGAAGAACGUAGCGAAAUGCGAUAAGUAAUGUGAAUUGCAGAAUUCAGUGAAUCAUCGAAUCUUUGAACGCACAUUGCGCCCGCCAGUAUUCUGGCGGGCAUGCCUGUCCGAGCGUCAUUUCAACCCUCGAACCCCUCCGGGGGGUCGGCGUUGGGGAUCGGCACUUACCUGCCGGCCCCGAAAUACAGUGGCGGUCUCGCCGCAGCCUCUCCUGCGCAGUAGUUUGCACACUCGCACCGGGAGCGCGGCGCGUCCACGGCCGUAAAACAACCCAAACUUCUGAAAUGUUGACCUCGGAUCAGGUAGGAAUACCCGCUGAACUUAAGCAUAUCAAUAAUCGGAGGA